Molecule: ribosomal RNA, 868 nt
Filed under: uncultured Clostridium sp.
Lineage: Bacteria; Bacillati; Bacillota; Clostridia; Eubacteriales; Clostridiaceae
Description: bacterial SSU rRNA
Rfam family: Bacterial small subunit ribosomal RNA
Source: RNAcentral
AGAGUUUGAUCCUGGCUCAGGACGAACGCUGGCGGCGUGCCUAACACAUGCAAGUCGAGCGGAGAUGAUCUGAAGUUUACUUUGGGUCGUCUUAGCGGCGGACGGGUGAGUAACGCGUGGGCAACCUACCUUUAACUGGGGGAUAACACAGGGAAACUUGUGCUAAUACCGCAUAACACAGAAAGGUAGCAUUACCUUUUUGUCAAAGGAGCAAUCCGGUGAGAGAUGGGCCCACGUCCAAUUAGCUAGUUGGUGGUGUAACGGACCACCAAGGCGACGAUUGGUAGCCGAACUGAGAGGUUGAUCGGCCACAUUGGGACUGAGAUACGGCCCAGACUCCUACGGGAGGCAGCAGUGGGGAAUAUUGCGCAACGGGGGAAACCCUGACGCAGCAACGCCGCGUGAAGGAUGAAGGUUUUCGGAUCGUAAACUUCUUUGAUGGGGGACGAAACAAAUGACGGUACCCCAAAAACAAGCCACGGCUAACUACGUGCCAGCAGCCGCGGUAAUACGUAGGUGGCGAGCGUUGUCCGGAAUUACUGGGUGUAAAGGGCGUGUAGGCGGGAAUGCAAGUCAGAUGUGAAAUGCCGGGGCUUAACCUCGGAGCUGCAUCUGAAACUGUGUUUCUUGAGUGUCGGAGAGGAAAGUGGAAUUCCCAGUGUAGCGGUGAAAUGCGUAGAUAUUGGGAGGAACACCAGUGGCGAAGGCGACUUUCUGGACGAUAACUGACGCUGAGGCGCGAAAGCGUGGGGAGCAAACAGGAUUAGAUACCCUGGUAGUCCACGCCGUAAACGAUGGAUACUAGGUGUAGGAGGUAUCGACCCCUUCUGUGCCGUAGUUAACACAAUAAGUAUCCCACCUGGGGAGU